Molecule: ribosomal RNA, 458 nt
Filed under: uncultured bacterium
Lineage: Bacteria
Description: partial 16S ribosomal RNA
Rfam family: Bacterial small subunit ribosomal RNA
Source: RNAcentral
CCUACGGGUGGCAGCAGUGAGGAAUAUUGGUCAAUGGGCGAGAGCCUGAACCAGCCAAGUCGCGUGAGGGAGUACUGCCCUAUGGGUUGUAAACCUCUUUUGUCGGGGAGCAAAAGCCGGACGUGUCCGGCUGUGAGAGUACCCGAAGAAAAAGCAUCGGCUAACUCCGUGCCAGCAGCCACGGUAAUACGGAGGAUGCGAGCGUUAUCCGGAUUUAUUGGGUUUAAAGGGUGCGCAGGCGGAUUUUUAAGUCAGCGGUAAAAUCGUGGGGCGCAACCCCAUCCAGCCGUUGAAACUGGGGAUCUAGAGUGUGCGAGAGGUAUGCGGAAUGCGUGGUGUAGCGGUGAAAUGCAUAGAUAUCACGCAGAACCCCGAUUGCGAAGGCAGCAUACCGGUGCACAACUGACGCUCAGGCACGAAAGCGUGGGUAUCGAACAGGAUUAGAUACCCGGGUAGUC